Molecule: ribosomal RNA, 467 nt
Filed under: uncultured bacterium
Lineage: Bacteria
Description: partial 16S ribosomal RNA
Rfam family: Bacterial small subunit ribosomal RNA
Source: RNAcentral
GACGAACGCUGGCGGCGUGCUUAACACAUGCAAGUCGAACGGAAAGGCCCUGCUUUUGUGGUGUGCUCGAGUGGCGAACGGGUGAGUAACACGUGAGUAACCUGCCCUUGACUUUGGGAUAACUUCAGGAAACUGGGGCUAAUACCGGAUAGGAGCUCCUGCUGCAUGGUGGGGGUUGGAAAGUUUCGGCGGUUGGGGAUGGACUCGCGGCUUAUCAGCUUGUUGGUGGGGUAGUGGCUUACCAAGGCUUUGACGGGUAGCCGGCCUGAGAGGGUGACCGGCCACAUUGGGACUGAGAUACGGCCCAGACGCCUACGGGAGGCAGCAGUGGGGAAUAUUGCACAAUGGGCGGAAGCCUGAGGCAGCAACGCCGCGUGCGGGAUGACGGCCUUCGGGUUGUAAACCGCUUUCGCCUGGGACGAAGCGUGAGUGACGGUAAUGGGUAAAGAAGCACCGGCUAACUACGU